Long non-coding RNA from Cercocebus atys (sooty mangabey), 580 nucleotides. RefSeq lists it as uncharacterized. The record is from RefSeq and is a predicted model, not a curated record. The transcript is spliced from 3 exons. NCBI's taxonomy places the organism in Eukaryota, Metazoa, Chordata, Mammalia, Primates, Cercopithecidae.
CCUAGGACAUAUUUGUACCCCAUCUCUAUUUUAUGCCUUUACACAAUUCUUUACUUAGUUCUAAAGCCUUUAUUGAGCCUGCUUUCUUUGUCCAGCUGAGUGCCACAUGUUCACACCACAAAGAUCAAUAAGGCAAACUCUGAAAGAUGGACAGAGAUAGAGGAGACGUUCCUUUAUAACGCAGUGUGAUCUGUGCUCCAAUAGAGAUGGAAGAGUGUUCUGAUUGGCUGGAAAACAACGUACAUGUGAAGCUGUAUGGAAAUGAGUGGAGAAAGUUUUGGAGACUAGAAGUUCAAAACAAGGUGUUGGCAGCACCAUGCUCUCUCUGAAGAUGCUAGGAAGAAUCUGUUACACACCUUUCCAUUCGCUUCUGGGGUUUCCUGCAAGCCCUCACAUUCCUUGGCUUGUAGAUGCAUCAGCCCAGUUUCUGCCCCCAUCAUCCUGUGGCCUCCUCUCUGUGUGUGCACCUGCAUUCCCUCUCCUCUUCUUCUAAGGACACCAGUCAUAGUAGAUUAAAGGUUCACUCCUAACUAAAUACAUCUGUAACAACCCUAUUUCCAAAUAAAGUCACAUUCUAAGA